This 453-nucleotide ribosomal RNA is filed under the name uncultured bacterium. RNAcentral's name for it is "bacterial SSU rRNA". It matches the Rfam family "Bacterial small subunit ribosomal RNA", at positions 340 to 786 of the family's 1533-position model. The record is from RNAcentral.
UACGGGAGGCAGCAGUGGGGAAUAUUGCACAAUGGGCGCAAGCCUGAUGCAGCCAUGCCGCGUGUAUGAAGAAGGCCUUCGGGUUGUAAAGUACUUUCAGUCGUGAGGAAGGUGUUAAGGUUAAUAACCUUAGCAAUUGACGUUAGCGACAGAAGAAGCACCGGCUAACUCCGUGCCAGCAGCCGCGGUAAUACGGAGGGUGCGAGCGUUAAUCGGAAUUACUGGGCGUAAAGGGCACGCAGGCGGUUAAUUAAGUUGGAUGUGAAAUCCCCGGGCUUAACCUGGGAAUGGCAUUCAAGACUGGUUAGCUAGAGUCUUGUAGAGGGGGUAGAAUUCCAUGUGUAGCGGUGAAAUGCGUGGAGAUGUGGAGGAAUACCGGUGGCGAAGGCGGCCCCUGGACAAAGACUGACGCUCAUGUGCGAAAGCGUGGGGAGCAAACAGGGAUUAGAUACC